RNAcentral lists this ribosomal RNA (561 nucleotides) under uncultured Arthrobacter sp. Its description in RNAcentral is "bacterial SSU rRNA". It matches the Rfam family "Bacterial small subunit ribosomal RNA", at positions 296 to 865 of the family's 1533-position model. Lineage: Bacteria; Bacillati; Actinomycetota; Actinomycetes; Micrococcales; Micrococcaceae. The record is from RNAcentral.
GAGGGUGACCGGCCACACUGGGACUGAGACACGGCCCAGACUCCUACGGGAGGCAGCAGUGGGGAAUAUUGCACAAUGGGCGGAAGCCUGAUGCAGCGACGCCGCGUGAGGGAUGACGGCCUUCGGGUUGUAAACCUCUUUCAGUAGGGAAGAAGCUUUCGGGUGACGGUACCUGCAGAAGAAGCGCCGGCUAACUACGUGCCAGCAGCCGCGGUAAUACGUAGGGCGCAAGCGUUAUCCGGAAUUAUUGGGCGUAAAGAGCUCGUAGGCGGUUUGUCGCGUCUGCUGUGAAAGACCGGGGCUCAACUCCGGUUCUGCAGUGGGUACGGGCAGACUAGAGUGAUGUAGGGGAGACUGGAAUUCCUGGUGUAGCGGUGAAAUGCGCAGAUAUCAGGAGGAACACCGAUGGCGAAGGCAGGUCUCUGGGCAUUAACUGACGCUGAGGAGCGAAAGCAUGGGGAGCGAACAGGAUUAGAUACCCUGGUAGUCCAUGCCGUAAACGUUGGGCACUAGGUGUGGGGGACAUUCCACGUUUUCCGCGCCGUAGCUAACGCAUUAAGU